CCUACGGGUGGCUGCAGUGGGGAAUAUUGGACAAUGGGCGAAAGCCUGAUCCAGCCAUGCCGCGUGUGUGAAGAAGGCCUUCGGGUUGUAAAGCACUUUCAGUGGGGAAGAAAGCCUUGGGGCUAAUACCCUCGAGGAAGGACAUCACCCACAGAAGAAGCACCGGCUAACUCCGUGCCAGCAGCCGCGGUAAUACGGAGGGUGCGAGCGUUAAUCGGAAUUACUGGGCGUAAAGCGCGCGUAGGCGGUCUGAUAAGCCGGUUGUGAAAGCCCCGGGCUCAACCUGGGAACGGCAUCCGGAACUGUCAGGCUAGAGUGCAGGAGAGGAAGGUAGAAUUCCCGGUGUAGCAGUGAAAUGCGUAGAGAUCGGGAGGAAUACCAGUGGCGAAGGCGGCCUUCUGGACUGACACUGACGCUGAGGUGCGAAAGCGUGGGUAGCAAACAGGAUUAGAUACCCUGGUAGUC
This 465-nucleotide ribosomal RNA is filed under the name Vreelandella stevensii. RNAcentral describes it as "partial 16S ribosomal RNA". It matches the Rfam family "Bacterial small subunit ribosomal RNA", at positions 338 to 795 of the family's 1533-position model. Lineage: Bacteria; Pseudomonadati; Pseudomonadota; Gammaproteobacteria; Oceanospirillales; Halomonadaceae. The record is from RNAcentral.